UCCUGCCCAAAAACUGCUCAGCUUGCACUUGAUCCUGCAUCUGCAUUAGUUCGAACCAUCGCCUGCCAUUGAUUAACACUGCCACACCACCAGCCCAGCCACACCGCCUUGCUGCCCAGAACUUGAACCUAUACGAUCCAAUUAUUAUUUGCAUAUGACGCUGCAAAUGCAUGCAGUUAAUCCGUACCUAUUGAACCUGCAUCUCGCUCGCCUCGAACCAGUCUUGCCGCCUGCUUGAAUCUCCCGCGCCCACCCACCACCUGCAAAUCAGCCUUGAACCUCUCCAUCCUUAUUGCGCUGCUACAUCCACCGAUCCACGAAUCUGAUCAUUUUGUUGUUGUUGUUCUAAGGGAAGAUUGAUUCAAUGCAAGAAAAAAUUAUGUUUGUUGAAGGUAAUCAUUCAAAAAAGUUCCAGGAGAAAGGGAAAAAAAACAAGGUUUGAUGUCUUUGAGGCCCACAUGAGUUGUUGGUUUGUUUGAGAUUAUUUUGUGACCGUCACUCGAGUGCUUGGAAUUGUGACCACUUAAGUGAUAGUGUUUGUGUUUGUUCAUUCGUUGCUACAAUUGAGAUAUGGAAAUCCCGUCUGUUUAGUGACGGGUUCUUUCUAUAUUCUCAACACUAGCCAAUCUGAAUCAGAAUCAGUUUACCUUCCAGAAUCAGUUCGCCAAUUCGCAAGUUCACAAGUCAAGUUAAGUCAAGUGUCAAGUCAGGUUAAGUCAAGUGUCAAGUCAGGUCAGGUCAAGUCAAAGUCAAGUCAAGGUCAAGUCAAGGUCAAGUCAAGUCAAGGUCAAGUCAAGUCAAGUUAAGUCAAGUCAAGUUGCAUGACAGUCUGCCUAACGAAGCUAGUCCGCAUCUGCUUGUUUGCAAACUCAUGUUGUAUACCACCAUGAGUUUGACGAGGGGUGUUGAAAAAUAUUAGUAUUUUGGUUUAUUUGAAUGUUUGGUUUUCUGGGCUUAGCCCGUUAGCAUUAGGGUUUUGAUUUCUUACCUUUUAGGAUUAAGGUUAGUUUAUUAUAAAUAGCAUGCUCGUUAUUCAGUCGAGAACAAGUUAGUUAUGAUUUAGCCUAUUGUGGUUUUGUAACCAUUCCGGCAUUCUCGUUUGUUUAAUAAUAUUCUUAUUAUUUUGUAGUCUUAUUUGUUCCACACUCUGAUAUUCAACUUCCUUCCCCUUCCGACCUAACCCCUCCCUUCCCG
RNAcentral lists this long non-coding RNA (1194 nucleotides) under Malus domestica (apple). Its description in RNAcentral is "long non-coding RNA (MDOM_LNC017755)". Lineage: Eukaryota; Viridiplantae; Streptophyta; Magnoliopsida; Rosales; Rosaceae. The record is from RNAcentral.